Molecule: unclassified non-coding RNA, 363 nt
Filed under: uncultured Meliniomyces
Lineage: Eukaryota; Fungi; Ascomycota; Leotiomycetes; Helotiales; Helotiaceae
Description: sequence contains ITS2
Rfam family: 5.8S ribosomal RNA (bases 1-154)
Source: RNAcentral
AACUUUUGGCAACGGAUCACUUGGUUCUGGCAUCGAUGAAGAACGCAGCGAAAUGCGAUAAGUAAUGUGAAUUGCAGAAUUCAGUGAAUCAUCGAAUCCUUGAACGAACAUUGCGCCCCUUGGUAUUCCGAGGGGCAUGCCUGUUCGAGCGUCAUUAUAACCACUCAAGCCUCGGCUUGGUCUUGGGGUUCGCGGACUUCGCGGCCUUUAAAAUUAGUGGCGGUGCCGUCUGGCUCUAAGCGUAGUAAUUCUCUCGCUAUAGGGUCCCGGUGGUUACCUGCCAGAAUCCCCCCAUUUUUUACGGUUGACCUCGGAUCAGGUAGGGAUACCCGCUGAACUUAAGCAUAUCAAUAAGCGGAGGCU